GAUGAACGCUGGCGGCGUGCCUAAUACAUGCAAGUCGAGCGAACAGACGAGGAGCUUGCUCCUCUGACGUUAGCGGCGGACGGGUGAGUAACACGUGGAUAACCUACCUAUAAGACUGGGAUAACUUCGGGAAACCGGAGCUAAUACCGGAUAAUAUAUUGAACCGCAUGGUUCAAUAGUGAAAGACGGUUUUGCUGUCACUUAUAGAUGGAUCCGCGCCGCAUUAGCUAGUUGGUAAGGUAACGGCUUAUCAAGGCAACGAUGCGUAGCCGACCUGAGGGGGUGAUCGGCCACACUGGAACUGAGACACGGUCAAGACUCCUACGGGAGGCAGCAGUAGGGAAUCUUCCGCAAUGGGCGAAAACCUGACGGAGCAACGCCGCGUGAGUGAUGAAGGUCUUCGGAGCGUAAAAAUCUGUUAUUAGGGAAGAACAAAUGUGUAAGUAACUAUGCACGUCUUGACGGUACCUAAUAAGAAAGCAACGGCUAACUACGUG
RNAcentral lists this ribosomal RNA (497 nucleotides) under uncultured bacterium. RNAcentral's name for it is "partial 16S ribosomal RNA". It matches the Rfam family "Bacterial small subunit ribosomal RNA", at positions 28 to 507 of the family's 1533-position model. The record is from RNAcentral.